GACGAACGCUGGCGGCGUGCUUAACACAUGCAAGUCGAACGGAAAGGCCCUGCUUUUGUGGGGUGCUCGAGUGGCGAACGGGUGAGUAACACGUGAGUAACCUGCCACUGACUUUGGGAUAACUUAAGGAAACUGGGGCUAAUACCGGCUAGGAGCUCCUGCUGCAUGGUGGGGGCUGGAAAGUUUCGGCGGUUGGGGAUGGACUCGCGGCUUAUCAGCUUGUUGGUUGGGUAGUGUCAUACCAAGGCUUUGACGGGUAGCCGGCCUGAGAGGGUGACAGGCCACAUUGGGACGGAAAUACGACACAGACUCCUACGGUAGGCAGCAGUGCGGUAGAGUGUAUAGUGGGCGGAAGCCUAAUGCAGUAACGCCGCGUGCGGGAUGUCGGCCUUCGGUUUGUAUAGCGAUUUCGCCUGUGACGAAGCGUGAGUGACGGUAAUGGGUAAAGAAGCACCGGCUAACUACGUG
RNAcentral lists this ribosomal RNA (468 nucleotides) under uncultured bacterium. Its description in RNAcentral is "partial 16S ribosomal RNA". It matches the Rfam family "Bacterial small subunit ribosomal RNA", at positions 28 to 507 of the family's 1533-position model. The record is from RNAcentral.